Molecule: ribosomal RNA, 776 nt
Filed under: uncultured Neocallimastigales
Lineage: Eukaryota; Fungi; Neocallimastigomycota; Neocallimastigomycetes; Neocallimastigales
Description: partial large subunit ribosomal RNA
Rfam family: Eukaryotic large subunit ribosomal RNA
Source: RNAcentral
AGAGAGAGACAUGCGCGCAUAUCAAUAAGCGGAGGAAAAGAAACUAACAAGGAUUCCCUUAGUAACGGCGAGUGAAGCGGGAAGAGCUCAAAUUUGAAAUCUUCAAGGUUCUACCUUGACGAAUUGUAGUUUAUAGAAGUGUUUUCUGUUAGUGGAGUGGCAAAAGUUCUUUGGAAUAGGACAUCAUAGAGGGUGAGAAUCCCGUAUUUGGUCAUUCCUCCUAGCGUUGUGAUACACUUUCAACGAGUCGGAUUGUUUGGGAAUGCAGUCCAAAAUGGGUGGUAAAUUUCAUCUAAAGCUAAAUAUUGGCGAGAGACCGAUAGCGAACAAGUACCGUGAGGGAAAGAUGAAAAGAACUUUGAAAAGAGAGUUAAACAGUACGUGAAAUUGUCAAAAGGGAAGCGUUUGACACCAGUGUUGUUUUUCCGAAAAUCAAUUACGAAUGUUUUAUUUUUGAGGAGUUAUGACUUCAUCGGCUUGCUCCUCUCUUUACUGAAACUUUCUUAAUGCACUUUUCGGUUAACAAGUCAACAUCAAUUUCUUUUGUUGUAAAAGGGUAUGAGGAAGGUGGCUUUCUUUUCGGAGAAAGUGUUUAUAGCCUUGUGCCUCUGCAAUCGGAGAGAUUGAGGUCUGCAGCGUAGAUCCUUCGGGGUUAGAUACAUUUGUGCUAAGUUAUAGCUUUCUCAUAGACAACUUGUUGACUAUGUUUAGUCUUGUAGCUUACUCGCUGACGCUAUUUUACCUACGCUUAGGAUGUUGAUAGUCACAGCGUGUAC